This 497-nucleotide ribosomal RNA is filed under the name uncultured bacterium. Its description in RNAcentral is "partial 16S ribosomal RNA". It matches the Rfam family "Bacterial small subunit ribosomal RNA", at positions 28 to 507 of the family's 1533-position model. The record is from RNAcentral.
GAUGAACGCUGGCGGCGUGCCUAAUACAUGCCAGUCGAGCGAACGGACGAGAAGCUUGCUUCUCUGAUGUUAGCGGCGGACGGGUGAGUAACACGUGGAUAACCUACCUAUAAGACUGGGAUAACUUCGGGAAACCGGAGCUAAUACCGGAUAAUAUUUUGAACCGCAUGGUUCAAAAGUGAAAGACGGUCUUGCUGUCACUUAUAGAUGGAUCCGCGCUGCAUUAGCUAGUUGGUAAGGUAACGGCUUACCAAGGCAACGAUGCAUAGCCGACCUGAGAGGGUGAUCGGCCACACUGGAACUGAGAGACGGUCCAGACUCCUACGGGAAGCAGCAGUAGGGAAUCUUCCGAAAUGGGCGAAAGCCUGACGAAGCAACGCCGCGUAAGUGAUGAAGGUCUUCGGAUCGUAAAACUCUGUUAUUAGGGAAGAACAUAUGUGUAAGUAACUGUGCACAUCUUGACGGUACCUAAUCAGAAAGCCACGGCUAACUACGUG